GGAAGGAUCGCCUAAUGGUAUGGCACUGGGUUGCUAACUCAGCAGGUAUAAUGCCUAUCAGGGUUCGACUCCCUGUCCUUCCGCCA
RNAcentral lists this transfer RNA (86 nucleotides) under Lentisphaerota bacterium. RNAcentral describes it as "Lentisphaerae bacterium (invertebrate metagenome) tRNA-Ser". It matches the Rfam family "tRNA". Rfam says of the family: Transfer RNA (tRNA) molecules are approximately 80 nucleotides in length. Their secondary structure includes four short double-helical elements and three loops (D, anti-codon, and T loops). Further hydrogen bonds mediate the characteristic L-shaped molecular structure. tRNAs have two regions of fundamental functional importance: the anti-codon, which is responsible for specific mRNA codon recognition, and the 3' end, to which the tRNAs corresponding amino acid is attached (by aminoacyl-tRNA synthetases). tRNAs cope with the degeneracy of the genetic code in two manners: having more than one tRNA (with a specific anti-codon) for a particular amino acid; and 'wobble' base-pairing, i.e. permitting non-standard base-pairing at the 3rd anti-codon position. The record is from RNAcentral. Lineage: Bacteria; Pseudomonadati; Lentisphaerota.